UACGUAGGGGGCAAGCGUUGUCCGGAAUCAUUGGGCGUAAAGCGCGCGUAGGCGGCCCGGUAAGUCCGCUGUGAAAGUCAAAGGCUCAACCUUUGAAUGUCAGCGGAUACUGCCGGGCUAGAGUCCGGAAGAGGCGAGUGGAACUCCUGGUGUAGCGGUGGAAUGCGUAGAGAUCGGGAAGAACACCAGUGGCGAAGGCGGCGCUCUGGGCUGCACCUGACGCUGAGAUGCGAAAGUGUGGGGAGCAAACGGG
This 253-nucleotide ribosomal RNA is filed under the name uncultured bacterium. RNAcentral's name for it is "partial 16S ribosomal RNA". It matches the Rfam family "Bacterial small subunit ribosomal RNA", at positions 524 to 776 of the family's 1533-position model. The record is from RNAcentral.